GUGCCAGCCGCCGCGGUAACACGGGGGGAGCAAGCGUUGUCCGGAAUUACUAGGCGUAAAGGGCAAGUAGGCGGAAUUGUAAGUCAGAUGUUAAAGGCACCGGCUCAACCGGUGUACGGCAUUUGAUACUGUGAUUCUAGAGUAAGGUGGGGGAAGAUGGAAUUCCUGGUGUAGCGGUGGAAUGCGCAGAUAUCAGGAAGAACACCAGAGGCGAAGGCGAUCUUCUAUACCAUUACUGACGCUAAAUUGCGAAGGUGUGGGUAUCAAACAGGAUUAGAUACCCUGGUAGUCCACACAGUAAACGAUAUACACUAGGUGUUGGGGGAGAUGAUCUUUCAGUGCCGUAGCUAACGCGUUAAGUGUAUCGCCUGGGGAGUACGAUCGCAAGGUUAAAACUCAAAUGAAUUGGCGG
Molecule: ribosomal RNA, 412 nt
Filed under: uncultured bacterium
Lineage: Bacteria
Description: bacterial SSU rRNA
Rfam family: Bacterial small subunit ribosomal RNA
Source: RNAcentral